GUUCUAUUUCCUGUCUAUUUAUCUUAUAUAGUGUUUAAGGCCUUCUUUUUGUUGUUAGGCACAGCAGCUAGUUCAAAAAAGAUCUCAGCUAUGUGUGCUUCCUGCUAGGGAUGAUAAGAGAAACUCACUUGAUAAUGCUUAGAAAGGGAAGGAAAAAGUGGAUUUUGGAUGAGGCUUUCAUCAAUACGUUUACACACUCUGAUGUUUCAAUGGGCCUUUUAUUUUCAAAAUAAUCUGCUAGAUGUGUGUACGGGAACUGUUGAGUCAUAGCCUGAACCACUGAUAGAGCACCUGGGGAAGGACCCGAUCAGCCCUGGGAGCACAGUUGAAGGCAAUGCAGCUGUGUGACCAGAAGGGGUGGAGCCUGGCUGUGCCUCUCUUAGUCCCCAUUUCAGGGCUGGCUGCCACUGGGGAAGGAUAUUUUCCUGGAGAUCUCUUCUUGGGGAAGCUUUCCCUUGUAAACCUGGAAUCUUUUGAUAUGGUGAGAAUUGAAAAUUGCAAGCCUGCUAUGCGUUCCCUUCCUAUGUCUUCCUGCGAAGUACAGAAGCUAUCUACUUCCAUUGAUAGACUAACAGAGAGCCAUCUUGCCACUGCAACUUAAGAACUCACAG
This is a long non-coding RNA of Gallus gallus (chicken), 611 nucleotides long. NCBI's taxonomy places the organism in Eukaryota, Metazoa, Chordata, Aves, Galliformes, Phasianidae. The record is from Ensembl.